Melitaea cinxia (Glanville fritillary) is the source of this 596-nucleotide long non-coding RNA. RefSeq lists it as uncharacterized. The transcript is spliced from 2 exons. Lineage: Eukaryota; Metazoa; Arthropoda; Insecta; Lepidoptera; Nymphalidae. The record is from RefSeq and is a predicted model, not a curated record.
UUUCUUAAAGUUAUGGUUGUGAACGAGGGCUUAAAAAAUAUGAAAUUUGUUUUUAGUUUAAAUAAUUUUAAAAUCUAAAUCGACAUCUCAGAUUGAUAAACAAAAGGCAGAUGGAGCGUGCCGAACAUGCGAGUGAAGCCACCAAAGCGAAUACAAAAUCAAAAGCGAAUACAAAGUCGCAGCAGUGCUAAAGAUAGCGUUGUAGUGUUUAAACGUCUCGAGUGAUUCAUUAUUUUUGUCAAAAAAUGCCGUCUUGUGUUAUUAAACAUUGUAAGAGUUGUUCCCAAAAACAAAAAAAAAAGAGGGUGGAACUUCAUUUCACAGAUUGCCGACAGAUGUUGUUCUACGCGAGGAAUGGGUUUCUAUUAUUCGCCAAAGCAGGCGUUGUUGGCGUUGCGUUGUGUGUUCAUUACAUUUUAAAGAGGAUGGCUUAUGCUUUACCGAAAAAUGUCGUAGGUUUAUAAAAAAAAAUUCAAUGUUAUUAUUUGUAAUACUAUCUAAAUUUUAGUCUAGUCUGUAAAUCGAUGUACGUGUGUGUUUGAAUAAAUGAUGAUGAUUAUGAUUAUUAUUAUUAUUAUUAAAUAUUUUGAAUUAUG